Molecule: ribosomal RNA, 714 nt
Filed under: Rhodosporidiobolus poonsookiae
Lineage: Eukaryota; Fungi; Basidiomycota; Microbotryomycetes; Sporidiobolales; Sporidiobolaceae
Description: LSU rRNA
Rfam family: Eukaryotic large subunit ribosomal RNA
Source: RNAcentral
UUAGAUUAGACCUCAAAUCAGGCAGGAUUACCCGCUGAACUUAAGCAUAUCAAUAAGCCGGAGGAAAAGAAACUAACCAAGGAUUCCCCUAGUAGCGGCGAGCGAAGCGGGAAGAGCUCAAAUUUGUAAUCUGGCGCUUUCGGCGUCCGAGUUGUAAUCUCUAGAAGUGUUUUCCGCGUUGGACCGCACACAAGUCUGUUGGAAUACAGCGGCACAGUGGUGAGACCCCCGUUCACGGUGCGGAUGCCCAAUGCUUUGUGAUACACUUUCGAAGAGUCGAGUUGUUUGGGAAUGCAGCUCAAAUUGGGUGGUAAAUUCCAUCUAAAGCUAAAUAUUGGCGAGAGACCGAUAGCGAACAAGUACCGUGAGGGAAAGAUGAAAAGCACUUUGGAAAGAGAGUUAACAGUACGUGAAAUUGUUGGAAGGGAAACGCUUGAAGUCAGACUUGCUAUUCGGGCAACCGAGUUGCAGGCCAGCAUCAGUUUUUCGGGGCGGAAAAUCACGGUUAGAAGGUAGCAGUUUCGGCUGUGUUAUAGCUUUCCGUUGGAUACGUCCUGGGGGACUGAGGAACGCAGCGUGCUUUUUGCAGGAGCUUCGGCUUCAUCACGCUUAGGAUGCUGGUGUAAUGGCUUUAAACACGUCUUGAAACACGGACCAAGGAGUCUAACAUGCUUGCGAGUAUUUGGGUGUCAAACCCGGAUGCGUAAUGAAAGU